GAUGAACGCUGGCGGCGUGCUUAAUACAUGCAAGUCGAACGGAAAGGCCCUGCUCUUGCGGGUUGCUCGAGUGGCGAACGGGUGAGUAAAACGCGAGUAACCUGUCCCUGACUUUGGGAUAACUCCUGGAGAAUGGGGAUCAUACCGCAUAGGAGCUCUUGCUGCACGGUGGGGGUUGGUAAGAUUCGGCGGUUGGGGCUGGUAUCGCGGCUUAUCAGCUUGUUGGUGGAGUAGUGGCUUACAAAGUCUGCGACGGAUAGCCGGCCUGGGCGGCUGGCCAGCGUCAUGGGGACUGAGAGACGGCCCAGACGGCUACGGGAGGCAACGGUGGGGAACAUGACGCAAUGAGCGGGAGCGUGAGGCGGCGACGCCGCGUGCGUGAAAACGGCCUUCGAGGUGUGAACCGAUGUGGCCGUAAACAAGGCGGGAUUGACGGUAAUGAGUAAGGAAGCACCGGCUAACUACGUG
RNAcentral lists this ribosomal RNA (468 nucleotides) under uncultured bacterium. RNAcentral describes it as "partial 16S ribosomal RNA". It matches the Rfam family "Bacterial small subunit ribosomal RNA", at positions 28 to 507 of the family's 1533-position model. The record is from RNAcentral.